Molecule: long non-coding RNA, 117 nt
Organism: Haliotis rubra (blacklip abalone)
Lineage: Eukaryota; Metazoa; Mollusca; Gastropoda; Lepetellida; Haliotidae
Exons: 3
Source: RefSeq, a predicted model, not a curated record
UGUGAUGGUCUAAAGGACUGAAGUUCUAAACGGUUGAAAUGUUUGCAGCAUGUAUUACUACAGGAAAUUGUAAAAGUAUAAGUUACAACACAGUAAGGUUGGCAUAUUUGUGAAUAU